GGCUCGGUGGUGGAUGGUCCACGUCUGCUUUCCAUUAUCCACGGAGACUAUGCCAUUGCUUAGCAGGAGACGCUCGUUCGAUUCGGGCCUGAGCCA
Mycena vulgaris is the source of this 96-nucleotide non-coding RNA. NCBI's taxonomy places the organism in Eukaryota, Fungi, Basidiomycota, Agaricomycetes, Agaricales, Mycenaceae. The record is from the annotation of a GenBank genome assembly.